CCCCAAACUUAUGGGGCGUCGCCGGUGCCACGGAAUUAAGCCGUGGGUGCGAGAUAGUGAAAAUCCCCGGAG
RNAcentral lists this non-coding RNA (72 nucleotides) under unclassified sequences. RNAcentral describes it as "RAGATH-16 RNA". It matches the Rfam family "RAGATH-16 RNA". From Rfam's summary of the family: Environmental. The record is from Rfam by way of RNAcentral.